Molecule: long non-coding RNA, 382 nt
Organism: Nycticebus coucang (slow loris)
Lineage: Eukaryota; Metazoa; Chordata; Mammalia; Primates; Lorisidae
Exons: 4
Source: RefSeq, a predicted model, not a curated record
UAGCAGUCCAUGGCACUGCUGAACUGUCCUGCCCUAGCAGGCCACGGUCUGUUAGGGUCCCGGUCAAGGUUGUGAAAAUGAGAAGCACAUCUGAAAUCCUCUCAGGCCACACUGGGUGAAAAUCACAGCCCUGGCCAGAUGCCGGCCCCUCAGACUCGGACUUCCAGCCUUCAGGACGGAAACCCUUCUCCUAAGCUGCUAAAGAGGAGCUUAUGUUGAGCUGGGAUGAUGGCCAAAACGUAAUCAAUAAGACAAACUUGGGUGCACACUGUCCAGCUUUAUUCCUGGUUUUCUGUGUACGUGGGUUAGGAAGAAACUCAAAUCAGUGCAGAGGGGCAGACCAGGGGAGUUCCAACGCCUUGGAAACAGAGUUCUCCUGUAG